AUGAAACCUAGCCUAGCCUCCAAUCCGCAACUGCCUUUCUCCCUCCCUCAUCCUCCCUUUUCCCUCGCUCGCCAUCCGCCGCCACACAGAUCCACCGCGUGCUCCCGUCCUCGAGCCCGAGGCCGCUUCCCCUUCGCGCCACCGUCGUGGCUUAGGCCAAGGCAACGACCGGGUCUUGGUGGAGGCAGAAGCACGUGGAGAGCCCGGCGGCUGCAGGUAGAAGCAGGGGUUGUGCAGUGGUGGAUGCGGUCGGCGUCGGUGAUUGAGGAAGGCUCGCCGGUCAGAGCGGCCGGAGAAGAUGGAAAGAAUAGCACGACCCUGCACAAUACGCACCCCCGGCCACCGCCUGCUCGUCCUUCAUGUGGUGUCAUCGCAGCUUUUGAAAAAGCAGGAGUAGGAGGAGCCACAGAUGAGGAGGAAGGAGACCAGCAAGGGGACGAGAUAUUCUUGUUCAAUUUGGUUCUCAUGGUGGCAUCUUUAGGUUCCAUCUUUGAUGCUUGGAUUUGUUGUCUAGCCAGCAGGAGUAGGAGACAGUGA
This 537-nucleotide ribosomal RNA is filed under the name Triticum aestivum (bread wheat). RNAcentral's name for it is "partial small subunit ribosomal RNA". The record is from RNAcentral. Lineage: Eukaryota; Viridiplantae; Streptophyta; Magnoliopsida; Poales; Poaceae.